CCUACGGGAGACAGCAGUGAGGAAUAUUGGUCAAUGGACGAGAGUCUGAACCAGCCAAGUAGCGUGAAGGAUGACUGCCCUACGGGUUGUAAACUUCUUUUGUCAGGGAGCAAUUGGGUCCACGCGUUGGCUUAGCGAGAGUACCUGAAGAAAAAGCAUCGGCUAACUCCGUCCCAGCAGCCGCGGUAAUACGGGGGAUGCGAGCGUUCUCCGGAUUUAUUGGUUUUACAGGGUGCGUAGGCGGAAUAUCAAGUCAGCGGUAAAAAUUCGGGGCUCAACCCCGUCGUGCCGUUGAAACUGAUGAUCUUGAGUGGGCGAGAAGUAUGCGGAAUGCGUGGUGUAGCGGUGAAAUGCAUAGAUAUCACGCAGAACUCCGAUUGCGAAGGCAGCAUACCGGCGCCCAACUGACGCUGAGGCACGAAAGCGUGGGUAUCGAACAGGAUUAGAUACCCCGGUAGUC
Molecule: ribosomal RNA, 460 nt
Filed under: uncultured bacterium
Lineage: Bacteria
Description: partial 16S ribosomal RNA
Rfam family: Bacterial small subunit ribosomal RNA
Source: RNAcentral